GGGGGCGUUCUGGAUUCGACGCGGAUUACAAAACCUCUGGUGCAUGUCGAGAUGGUGGCGAAUCUCGUAAAAUCAAAGUCACAACUUUAUAGUUGCCAACGAAGACAACUACGCACUCGCUGCUUAAAACCCAGUAGGGUGCCGUCUGACUGGAGCCGUGCUUGUGCGUCCAGAGCCCUUUGGGGCGCUCAGGCGUCAUAUUACACAAGAUCGUGAAAAAGUUUGUUCGGGGCCGAUUCAUUAAACUUUUACCGAAAUCGCUCUUAGUGUUCCCUGACAGUCGGGUUACUAAGUGUUAAAUUUAAAGACUGAUCUAAACAUGUAGAGCCACUGGUAGCGGAUUGGCGGACGCGGGUUCAAUUCCCGCCGCCUCCACCA
This 378-nucleotide transfer-messenger RNA is filed under the name Porticoccaceae. Its description in RNAcentral is "AAA300-D14 sp002715065 Standard tmRNA". It matches the Rfam family "transfer-messenger RNA". Rfam says of the family: Bacterial tmRNA, also known as 10Sa RNA or SsrA, is named for its dual tRNA and mRNA-like properties. Lineage: Bacteria; Pseudomonadati; Pseudomonadota; Gammaproteobacteria; Cellvibrionales. RNAcentral also lists the same sequence under 1 other name. The record is from RNAcentral.